This 511-nucleotide ribosomal RNA is filed under the name uncultured bacterium. RNAcentral describes it as "partial 16S ribosomal RNA". It matches the Rfam family "Bacterial small subunit ribosomal RNA", at positions 28 to 506 of the family's 1533-position model. The record is from RNAcentral.
GAUGAACGCUGGCGGCGUGCCUAAUACAUGCAAGUCGAACGAAACUUCUUUAUCACCGAGUGCUUGCACUCACCGAUAAAGAGUUGAGUGGCGAACGGGUGAGUAACACGUGGGCAACCUGCCCAAAAGAGGGGGAUAACACUUGGAAACAGGUGCUAAUACCGCAUAACCAUAGUUACCGCAUGGUAACUAUGUAAAAGGUGGCUAUACUACCGCUUUUGGAUGGGCCCGCGGCGCAUUAGCUAGUUGGUAGGGUAAAGGCUUACCAAGGCAAUGAUGCGUAGCCGAAUUGAGAGGUUGAUCGGCCACAUUGGGACUGAGACACGGCCCAAACUCCGACGGGAGGCAGCAGUAGGGAAUCUUCCACAAUGGGCGAAAGCCUGAUGGAGCAACGCCGCGUGGGUGAAGAAGGUCUUCGGAUCGUAAAACCCUGUUGUUAGAGAAGAAAGUGCGUGAGAGUAACUGUUCACGUUUCGACGGUAUCUAACCAGAAAGCCACGGCUAACUACGU